CACCAGGAGAACCUAUUGAUAUCUUCAGUUCGAAUGCAGAGAGAUUCAUGGGAGUUGCUAUGCUAGGACAUGAGAGACCGAACAGGAAGGCAGCUCUCUUCCCAGUAUCAAGAUAAGUUCUUUUUUUCAGGAUUGUCUGAGACACACAUCAGUUAAUGUCUUAGAUUUAAAGCCCAUGUUCCUGUUAUGUUGGUGCAGAUUCCGACUUUUGUCUAGGAUCCUUUGUGAAAUGAAGUUAUGGCAGCUAUCAGCUUGUUUUGGAGAAUCAGACAUCAAUGCUAUUUUAGAUUGUUAUGUUCGAUCAUAUAUGUUAUUUAGUUCAGAAUUAUGCACACAAUGUCUUUUCAAUUGAAGUGUCUCUUGUGAGGUAGUAAAAGGAUCCCUUAUUUACGGUUAGAGAAAAGCAUAUCUUAAUUGAUAGUGUCAAGUGUAUUUAGCUGGAUCAUGUCAUUCACCGUUGUGUGUGACCGUCAGUACAUAUUGUUCUUUUAGUCGUCUUCAGAACUCUAUUUUAUAUUAAUGCAUCUCAAUUAAACAUGUGUGCCAUUUCUUUGACAAGGGCUUGUCCAGAAGGCUGGGUUUUUAUGCCAUAACCUGUCGGAUCAAAGAUGGAGCUUUAGCUUCUUAGAUAUAAAUAUUAUGUGGCUGAAUAGAAGAUGACCUCAAUUAUUUGAAUUAGAACUGCAAUAACAAAUUAUUGGCCUUGAUGGAAUUCCUUGAUCUUAUCAGAGCGAAAAGGUGAGCUCUAUUCUUUGGCAAGCAAUGAGUUAGUCCCCUAAGCAUUUAAGUGAAAGUAAAUGUACUGCAGAUUUAGUCCGGUGGAAUUUACAUCCCUGAGAUUAUAUGUGCUAUAAAAUAUACGAUAAUGUUUUGGAAUACCAAAAUUUCUCUAUCUGUACUUGUGGUGAACCAAAUUCGUAUAUGAAUCAAGUAUGCAGAUGCCGUCUCUUUGAUGUAUGGGCUUAGUUAUAAGAAACUUGAUUAAGGUCAUGCGUAAUUAAUUAAAUGCCAUCUGUAUGUACUAAAACAAAAUCUAUAAUUAGCCAGUUAGACAUCUAGCUUUUUAGUUGUGUGGGCUACCUCUGUUUUAGCCAGUUAGACAUCUAGCUUUCUUGCUCCGUGGUUUUACCCUUUGCUAGCCAUAUCCUCGCGGGCCGCUGAUUACCUUUAUUUUCAUGUCAAGAUCCCUCUUGCUCAGCUCAUCAUUACAAGGAACUACAUGGCUUUGUGAAAUGUUAACGGUUAAUGAUUUUGCUUGAUUCUUCUUGCCAGAUGAACCCAAAGAUAGUUCAGUUGUUUAGUAGUUUUUGACACACCAUGUAUUAUCACCCCUGCUCUAAUAAAUUGACCUAUGUUGCUUGCUUAUAAUAGAUUUUCAUAGAUGAUCAAUAUAGUGUACUACAAAACUGUGUAUUGGUGAGAAAGAUGGGCCGUGCGCCAAGGACCAUGUAUUUCUUUUGUGAUUGAAUGUAUAUAUAUGAAGUAGGUUCAUGCUACAACAAUCCCUGUGUGCUACUUAUGUGCUGUUGCUUUUGCCAUUCCUUCCGGAUCGGUUGUUUAUAUAAUUCCUAGCAAAGGCCUCACUCUUCUUAGAAUUUUCUCAUUCCUAUGGACCAUUAGUUCAUGGUUGUGGUUUAGUUACCUAUCAAAAUGCUAUCUAAUAGGUAGCUAUGAACUUAUUGCAUUUUGUACUAAUGAGAAACAGAUUGUGAAUUC
Molecule: long non-coding RNA, 1716 nt
Organism: Lolium rigidum
Lineage: Eukaryota; Viridiplantae; Streptophyta; Magnoliopsida; Poales; Poaceae
Exons: 3
Source: RefSeq, a predicted model, not a curated record